UACGGGGGUGGCAAGCGUUGUUCGGAAUCACUGGGCAUAAAGCGUACGUAGGCGGCGCCGUAAGUGUCGGAUGAAAUCCCACGGCUUACCCGUGGAACGGUCCGGCAUACUGCGGUGCUAGAGGAUGGUAGAGGAGAGCGGAACUCUUGGUGGAGCGGUGAAAUGCGUAGAUAUCAAGAGGAACACCGGUGGCGAAGGCGGCUCUCUGGUCCAUGUCUGACGCUGAGGUACGAAAGCCAGGGGAGCAAACGGG
This 253-nucleotide ribosomal RNA is filed under the name uncultured bacterium. Its description in RNAcentral is "partial 16S ribosomal RNA". It matches the Rfam family "Bacterial small subunit ribosomal RNA", at positions 524 to 776 of the family's 1533-position model. The record is from RNAcentral.